GAAUCGUAGCUCAGUUUGGUAGAGCGCGAAUGUUUCAUCAACAACUUGUCGCCGUUAUUUUUCACAAUUAUUGUCGGGUGAAAGUUCAAAUCUUUCCGCUUCCG
This 104-nucleotide transfer RNA is filed under the name Pyrinomonadaceae bacterium. RNAcentral's name for it is "tRNA-OTHER". It matches the Rfam family "tRNA". From Rfam's summary of the family: Transfer RNA (tRNA) molecules are approximately 80 nucleotides in length. Their secondary structure includes four short double-helical elements and three loops (D, anti-codon, and T loops). Further hydrogen bonds mediate the characteristic L-shaped molecular structure. tRNAs have two regions of fundamental functional importance: the anti-codon, which is responsible for specific mRNA codon recognition, and the 3' end, to which the tRNAs corresponding amino acid is attached (by aminoacyl-tRNA synthetases). tRNAs cope with the degeneracy of the genetic code in two manners: having more than one tRNA (with a specific anti-codon) for a particular amino acid; and 'wobble' base-pairing, i.e. permitting non-standard base-pairing at the 3rd anti-codon position. Lineage: Bacteria; Pseudomonadati; Acidobacteriota; Blastocatellia; Blastocatellales; Pyrinomonadaceae. The record is from RNAcentral.